UCACAGAUGUGAGCAGAGUUCUCACUGAAGUCUGUAACCUGUCUCAGCUGUCUCCCACUCUCACAUUUCAGGCUCGUGAGGGGCUUGAGGAAGAAAAUCUUACUGCACUUCACAUUACCCUCUCUGUAAGAGGUUUUUGUUCUGUCUUUUGGUGAUUUCACAACUGAGAUGAACUUCUCCAUAAUGUUCCUGCUGUUUCUUCCUGCGGUUCUUCCUUUAUCACUAUUGGAAAAGGGCUGCUACUUCUAUCUCUGCCCCAAAAGAUGCACGCAUCACCUCACGGUGCACUCAGCCUCUUGAAGGUCAUUGCCUAGAAACCAGAUCUUGGAGUUGUUAGAAGUACAAUGUGCUGCUGCACUGUUUGACCAAUUGCAAAAGUUUUGUUUUGAACUCUAAUGAGUCUUUGCUUAUCUCCUUUCUUAGCACUACCCAUUGUUAAUUAAUUCAUCUUUGACAGUACCUCUGUAUGUGCUUUUAUAAACUCACUUGUAUUAUUUUAUAUUGCAUUUUAUUUGUACUCAGUCUGUUCUUUGUUUCAGAGCAUGGAGUUGCCAUAAAGAAUUAAUUUGAGGAAUACUUUUUCACCCUUUACAUAGUGUUCACACUGAGGAUCUGUGAUCUACAGUAAUUCUUAUUCAUUUGGAAUAUAGUAAUUUGUUCUUGUCAGCACAGGGGCUGGUUUGUUGUUUUAAAUUGCUGACUUCUGUUUUUGUUGGCGUGCUCCCCAAUACAAAUUGAACAUCUAACAAAAAUCUAUUUGUAUGACAGUUGAGUCUAGAUAGGUGCUCGUACAAUUUGGGGUCCCCAAGAUAAAAGUUGACUGAAUGCCAAGAUUUUAGCAGUGCUUGUAUGUGCAGAUAACGGAGGUAAUCCAUAUUCCUCAGGUCUGUAAAUCAAACAAAGAAGAAAUACGUAUGCACACCAUUCUCUUUGAGAUAGUGGGCUUGUAUUUUCUUCUUAAUAACAAUGGGGAAUAUCUAACCUCUGAGAACAAUGGAAAGCAGACACAAGGGAUGUUCCUAUGUAAAAUUAGACAGAUUAGAAGAUUCUUAGAAAAAUAUAGAAUGUGUCUCUCCACCCUUAGCAGAUAAUGCCCAAAUAAAUUAUUCGGUGGAUCUGGUUUGUGUCUCUUUUUGGCAAUUUCUGCUCUUAGGGAAUUUUGUUUGUUUUAGAACCUAAUUAAGAUUAUUAUAGAUCUGAAAGUUGAUACAUAUUAAAAUACUAUAGUGGAAUAGGAAAUCCAGCCUCUAGGUCUUGGCUGUAUUUUUCAGGCUGAUAGAGCCCAGCGUGACCUCUUUAGUGGCCAUCUAUGGAACUGUCAUUUAGGAAAACACGUAUUGGUUUCUAAUGACCUUCUGCAAAGAUUUUUCUGGGAUAAAAUUACAUACUAAAAUAUUUUCUUCCUGAUGAGGUUAUCAUAUCAAUAAUGUGAAAUCCAAACUAAGAAUCUUAGUGGCCUCCCAACCAUCUUUGGCAGUUUUUAAGGUGCAAUAACUGCUUUUCAUCCUCAGCCAGCUAUAUGCAACUAUGCAUCCCAUUUUUGCUUUUUAGCUUUGGAAUCUCCUACAUUUUGGAGUUAAGACCCUGGUGUUGCUCUUCUAGUUAAAUGUAGGACAAGGUUUUCCCAGGUUGACAGCCAUUCAAGCCAUGAAUUUAGUCUUGAAAACUUCUUGUCAGUCACAAUGCGUUACUCCAAGGGCUUCUUUAUGGGCAAUUGGUUUACACUUGGAAAUUUUCAGGAUAUCUUUGAUUGUGAAAUCACUUUUUUAUAGACAAAUGUGUUAGUUAAUUUCUUACCCAUUUAAUUACAAGCAUCUCCUGAAAGACCUUAGUUCCUGCUUUUUUCUCUCAACUCUGUAGAUUUCUAAUCUGUUUGAUUCAAAUGCUGUGAUCAUGCAAUUUUUAUGCCUUGCAAAAUCUAGGUAAAUAA
This is a long non-coding RNA of Oxyura jamaicensis (ruddy duck), 1930 nucleotides long. RefSeq lists it as uncharacterized. The transcript is spliced from 2 exons. NCBI's taxonomy places the organism in Eukaryota, Metazoa, Chordata, Aves, Anseriformes, Anatidae. The record is from RefSeq and is a predicted model, not a curated record.